GAUGAACGCUGGCGGCGUGCCUAAUACAUGCAAGUCGAGCGAACGGACGAGAAGCUUGCUUCUCUGAUGUUAGCGGCGGACGGGUGAGUAACACGUGGAUAACCUACCUAUAAGACUGGGAUAACUUCGGGAAACCGGAGCUAAUACCGGAUAAUAUUUUGAACCGCAUGGUUCAAAAGUGAAAGACGGUCUUGCUGUCACUUAUAGAUGGAUCCGCGCUGCAUUAGCUAGUUGGUAAGGUAACGGCUUACCAAGGCAACGAUGCAUAGCCGACCUGAGAGGGUGGUCGGCCACACUGGAACUGAGACACGGUCCAGACUCCUACGGGAGGCAGCAGUAGGGAAUCUUCCGCCAUGGGCGAAAGCCUGACGGAGCAACGCCGCGUGAGUGAUGAAGGUCUUCGGAUCGUAAAACUCUGUUAUUAGGGAAGAACAUAUGUGUAAGUAACUGUGCACAUCUUGACGGUACCUAAUCAGAAAGCCACGGCUAACUACGUG
RNAcentral lists this ribosomal RNA (497 nucleotides) under uncultured bacterium. RNAcentral's name for it is "partial 16S ribosomal RNA". It matches the Rfam family "Bacterial small subunit ribosomal RNA", at positions 28 to 507 of the family's 1533-position model. The record is from RNAcentral.